Molecule: transfer RNA, 129 nt
Filed under: Flavobacterium sp.
Lineage: Bacteria; Pseudomonadati; Bacteroidota; Flavobacteriia; Flavobacteriales; Flavobacteriaceae
Description: tRNA-OTHER
Rfam family: tRNA
About the family: Transfer RNA (tRNA) molecules are approximately 80 nucleotides in length.
Source: RNAcentral
GGGGAAGUAGCUCAGGGAGCAAUCCAAGGUUAGAGCGCUUAACGUGUCGGUAGGGGAAGCUUCGAAAAGGUAAAGUAAAAGCACCGUAAAGCACUACAGAGGUCAGCGGUUCGAGUCCGCUCUUCUCCA